This is a long non-coding RNA of Leopardus geoffroyi (Geoffroy's cat), 2225 nucleotides long. RefSeq lists it as uncharacterized. The transcript is spliced from 2 exons. Lineage: Eukaryota; Metazoa; Chordata; Mammalia; Carnivora; Felidae. The record is from RefSeq and is a predicted model, not a curated record.
UCCCACAUCUGCCCCUCACCAGCUGAUAUUCAGUAUGGUCAAGUUCUUUAACUUAAGGGCAAAUCCCUUCAUCUCUAAAAUGAGAGCAGUCAUUGCAUUUGCCUCUUAGGCUUUUUUUUUUUUUUUCUCAUCGUUAAUUGAAAUUUUGCAAAUAAAGGACUUUUAUUUGGCAUGUAGUAGGUUGUCAGUAAGUAAUAGUGUUAUUUUCCUCUGUGAAUCUCUCCUGCUGCAGAAUUGAACCGUGGUUGUGCAUUCACGUACCCAGCACUUGCAGUGUUGUGAGUCUCCUACACUCGGGUGACAGGUGAAUCCAAUAGAAAUAGUCAAAUAUUUAAGACGAAUAUUAUGCAUUGAAUACUGCAGAUGCUAAAACUGUCAAAGACAAGAAACAUACUGAUUUUCAUUUUGCAUUUUAUGUGAUACGGUAUCUUGUACAAAGCAAGGGACCCACAACUGUUUGGGUCUGUUCCUCUUCCCAGGAGGAGGUUGUGAUGAUCACAUAUAGAUGCAUGAUCUUUCCUGUCCUGCUAAUCUGGACCUGGGAAGGGAAGCCAGAUCAGGGGACAUUUCUGGGCAGGGGAGAACCACAGGUGUUGAGGAACAGAACUGAGUUUGAUUUCUUGCUCUGAGACCCGGGAAAGCCACUUCUCCUCAGGUGGCAAACGCAUAUCGGAGGCUUCCCCGCGGUGCCCAGGACUCACCUGCUCCCAGAAGACAAAGGGCCACGCAGCAGAGAAGCCUGGAGCCCAUGGCAACACUGGGAAGCCAAGAUAUCAUCCAGCUCAGGGGUGGGGGCCCCGGGGGUGAGCAGCCUAAAGCUUUGAACCUCCCAUUUCCCUGAAAGGAGUAUUUGCCUAUGACGUCACCACUCCCACAUCGCCACUCUGGUGACUCUGCAGGGCUGUGCCGAGCCCUGUGGCUCCGAGAAGUUCAUGUGCAGAUCAGAGAGACGGUCACCCAAAUGUCGCACUGAGAGCUAAUCUGGCAAGGGUCAUUUUGCUCACUGUAACUCAUCCUAAUAUGCAAAGGAGAGCUGGGACCUGACCCAGGGCCGGUGGGUAACAAGAUCCACUGGGGUGCCCAGAGAGAGGGGAACAUCUCAGUGUCACUUGCUGUCCACUUGCUUUGAUCAGAUGUCUUGAAGUUUGGGUGGCUCCAGCCUCCACUGGGCCUGUGAGGGAAGGACACAGGGGCUGGGGAACAAACACGAGAGGGAGCCCGAUGGUGCCACGCACUUAGGUGCUGUCACGCUUAGAGGAGAGAUGUCCUACCUGGACAAGGACACACUUGCUCCCAGGAGACAAAGGUCCACGUGGAGGCUGCAGCCCACAGCAUGCAGCGGGGAGGGCAGAACCUGACAGGUUUCUCCCCGCUCAGAGUUCUGGGUCUCCGAGAGCUGAAGAUCUGGGCAUCCCUUCUCUGACUGGAGGUUAGGCAGUAAUGUCACUGCUCCGAUGUCAUUAUCCCUCCUGGUUCCCAUGAGCCUCCCUUGCCAGGUCCCUGGCUACGCCGGUCCAGGAACUCUGCUUUGUUCCGCAAAGCCCCUCACAUGAAGGGCAGGGCUGGGACGGUCUAGGCUAGCUGGGGUUAAGCCACAGGUGUGUCCACAGCUCCUCAGCUUUUCCUUUCAGGCGGGUGUUCCUCUACCUGUUCCUGCUAGGGCAAGGAGUCUGCCCCCUCCCAGCACCACACUGCACUUUUUUCCCCUUGCAAGCUCAGAGAGACUCCCUAAUGACUGCCGAGCUGAAGGUUUGGCCCCCUGAUGGGACUGCACAACCUCAAAUUAGUGUUGAUAGCAUUAAGCCUUAUAGUGGAAAAGAGCUCCAAGCAAGGCUUUCCUUAACCCUCCUGGUCCCAGAUAGCUGGCUCUAUGCCCCUGCUCUGCCCAGGCGACUUUUGGCAUUCAGCGGUUCCACAGUGCCCCCAUGUGGCCUACUGGGCAGUAAUCAAGAGAUUGCCUCUACCGUGAUGUGAGUCCUGGGGUAUGUUUAAAUUAGAAGCUAUUCUGGGGCACUUGGGUGGCUCAGUUGGUUAAACAGCCAACCUGGGCUCAGGUCAUGAUCUCACGGUUUGUGAGUUCAAGCCCCGCGUUGGGUGCUGGGCUGACAGCUCAGAGCCUGGAGCCUGCUUUGGUUUCUGUGUCUCUCUCUCUGCCCCUCCCCUGCUCAUGCUCUGUCUCUGCCUCUUAACAAGAGGUAAAGGUUAAUAAAUUAGAAACUAUUCCA